Molecule: ribosomal RNA, 1456 nt
Filed under: metagenome
Description: bacterial LSU rRNA
Rfam family: Bacterial large subunit ribosomal RNA
Source: RNAcentral
UAUCGAGGGUGUGACGGAGAAGGAUAGUGUGUGCUAGCGAUUGGAAAUGCUAGUCUAAGCGUUUAGGGAGUUACGGUAGGCAAAUCCGCUGUAACAAUUCUGAGGCGUGAUGGGGAAGGCCAUAUAGGCCGAAGUACAUGAUUCCAUGCUUCCAAGAAAAGCAUCUAGAGAGAGAAGUAGUGCCCGUACCGCAAACCGACACAGGUAGAUGAGGAGAGAAUCCUAAGGCCGGCGGAAGAAUUGCAGUUAAGGAACUAGGCAAAUUGACCCCGUAAGUUCGCGAGAAGGGGUGCCUGCGAGAGCAGGCCGCAGAGAAUAGGCCCAAGCAACUGUUUAGCAAAAACACAGGUCUCUGCUAAAGCGUAAGCUGAUGUAUAGGGGCUGACGCCUGCCCGGUGCUGGAAGGUUAAGGGGAACACUUAGCGCAAGCGAAGGUGUGAACUUAAGCCCCAGUAAACGGCGGCCGUAACAAUAACGGUCCUAAGGUAGCGAAAUUCCUUGUCAGGUAAGUUCUGACCCGCACGAAUGGCGUAAUGACUUGGGCACUGUCUCAACUGCAAAUCCGGCGAAGUUGUAGUGCGAGUGAAGAUGCUCGCUACCCGCGAUUGGACGGAAAGACCCCGUAGAGCUUUACUGUAGCUUAGCAUUGAAUUCCGGUAUUGUCUGUACAGGAUAGGUGGGAGACUGGGAAACUAGGGCGUCAGCCUUAGUGGAGUCAACCUUGGGAUACCACCCUGACAGUACUGGGGUUCUAACAGGACGCCAUGAAUCUGGUGACUGGACAUUGUUAGGUGGGCAGUUUGACUGGGGCGGUCGCCUCCUAAAAAGUAACGGAGGCGCCCAAAGGUUCCCUCAGAACGGUCGGAAAUCGUUCGUAGAGUGCAAAGGCAGAAGGGAGCCUGACUGCGAGACAUACAAGUCGAGCAGGGACGAAAGUCGGGCUUAGUGAUCCGGUGGUACCUCGUGGGAGGGCCAUCGCUCAACGGAUAAAAGCUACCUCGGGGAUAACAGGCUGAUCUCCCCCAAGAGUCCACAUCGACGGGGAGGUUUGGCACCUCGAUGUCGGCUCGUCGCAUCCUGGGGCUGUAGUAGGUCCCAAGGGUUGGGCUGUUCGCCCAUUAAAGCGGCACGCGAGCUGGGUUCAGAACGUCGUGAGACAGUUCGGUCCCUAUCCGUCGCGGGCGUAGGAAAUUUGAGAGGAGCUGUCCUUAGUACGAGAGGACCGGGAUGGACUGACCUCUGGUGCACCAGUUGUUCCGCCAGGAGCAUGGCUGGGUAGCUAAGUCGGGAAGGGAUAAACGCUGAAAGCAUCUAAGCGUGAAGCCUCCCUCAAGAUGAGAUUUCCCAUAGCAUAAGCUAGUAAGACCCCUUGAAGAACACAAGGUUGAUAGGUCAGAGGUGUAAGUGCGGUAACGUAUUUAGCUGACUGAUACUAAUAGGUCGAGGGCUUGACCAU